GACGAACGCUGGCGGCGUGCCUAAUACAUGCAAGUAGAACGCUGAAGCGAGGAGCUUGCUCUUCUUGGGUGAGUUGCGAACGGGUGAGUAACGCGUAGGUAACCUGCCUUGUAGCGGGGGAUAACUAUUGGAAACGAUAGCUAAUACCGCAUAACAAUGGAUGACACAUGUCAUUUAUUUGAAAGGGGCAAUUGUUCCACUACAAGAUGGACCUGCGUUGUAUUAGCUAGUAGGUGAGGUAAUGGCUCACCUAGGCGACGAUACAUAGCCGACCUGAGAGGGUGAUCGGCCACACUGGGACUGAGACACGGCCCAGACUCCUACGGGAGGCAGCAGUAGGGAAUCUUCGGCAAUGGGGGCAACCCUGACCGAGCAACGCCGCGUGAGUGAAGAAGGUUUUCGGAUCGUAAAGCUCUGUUGUAAGUCAAGAACGGGUGUGAGAGUGGAAAGUUCACACUGUGACGGUAGCUUACCAGAAAGGGACGGCUAACUACGUG
RNAcentral lists this ribosomal RNA (497 nucleotides) under uncultured bacterium. RNAcentral describes it as "partial 16S ribosomal RNA". It matches the Rfam family "Bacterial small subunit ribosomal RNA", at positions 28 to 507 of the family's 1533-position model. The record is from RNAcentral.